UACGAAGGGGGCUAGCGUUGCUCGGAAUCACGGGGCGUAAAGCGCACGUAGGCGGCUUUCUAAGUCAGGGGUGAAAUCCUGGAGCUCAACUCCAGAACUGCCUUUGAUACUGGAAAGCUUGAGUUCGGGAGAGGUGAGUGGAACUGCGAGUGUAGAGGUGAAAUUCGUAGAUAUUCGCAAGAACACCAGUGGCGAAGGCGGCUCACUGGCCCGAUACUGACGCUGAGGUGCGAAAGCGUGGGGAGCAAACAGG
RNAcentral lists this ribosomal RNA (253 nucleotides) under uncultured bacterium. RNAcentral describes it as "partial 16S ribosomal RNA". It matches the Rfam family "Bacterial small subunit ribosomal RNA", at positions 524 to 776 of the family's 1533-position model. The record is from RNAcentral.